Molecule: small RNA, 74 nt
Filed under: Xanthomonas euvesicatoria
Lineage: Bacteria; Pseudomonadati; Pseudomonadota; Gammaproteobacteria; Lysobacterales; Lysobacteraceae
Also listed under: 2 other names
Description: sRNA sX9
Rfam family: Xanthomonas sRNA sX9
Source: RNAcentral
AUGGAACACGCGCGCACUGCGGUUCCCGCGCGCCGCCCACAUCCGCCUGCCGACUGCGCGCCAUGUUCUUAGCC